This 76-nucleotide microRNA precursor is filed under the name Podarcis lilfordi (Lilford's wall lizard). The record is from RNAcentral. Lineage: Eukaryota; Metazoa; Chordata; Lepidosauria; Squamata; Lacertidae.
UAUAUGUAUAUAUGUGUGUGUGUAUAUGUAUAUGUAUAUGUAUAUAUAUAUAUACACACACAUACAUAUACGUAUG